AGUCGGACGGCAGCACAGGGAAGCUUGCUUCUCGGGUGGCGAGUGGCGAACGGGUGAGUAACAUAUCGGAACGUACCGGGUAGCGGGGGAUAACUGAUCGAAAGAUCAGCUAAUACCGCAUACGUCUUGAGAGGGAAAGCAGGGGACCUUCGGGCCUUGCGCUAUCCGAGCGGCCGAUAUCUGAUUAGCUGGUUGGCGGGGUAAAGGCCCACCAAGGCGACGAUCAGUAGCGGGUCUGAGAGGAUGAUCCGCCACACUGGGACUGAGACACGGCCCAGACUCCUACGGGAGGCAGCAGUGGGGAAUUUUGGACAAUGGGCGCAAGCCUGAUCCAGCCAUGCCGCGUGUCUGAAGAAGGCCUUCGGGUUGUAAAGGACUUUUGUCAGGGAAGAAAAGGCUGUUGCCAAUAUCGGCGGCCGAUGACGGUACCUGAAGAAUAAGCACCGGCUAA
Molecule: ribosomal RNA, 451 nt
Filed under: Neisseria gonorrhoeae
Lineage: Bacteria; Pseudomonadati; Pseudomonadota; Betaproteobacteria; Neisseriales; Neisseriaceae
Description: bacterial SSU rRNA
Rfam family: Bacterial small subunit ribosomal RNA
Source: RNAcentral